This 264-nucleotide ribosomal RNA is filed under the name uncultured Staphylococcus sp. RNAcentral describes it as "partial 16S ribosomal RNA". It matches the Rfam family "Bacterial small subunit ribosomal RNA", at positions 96 to 356 of the family's 1533-position model. The record is from RNAcentral. Lineage: Bacteria; Bacillati; Bacillota; Bacilli; Caryophanales; Staphylococcaceae.
CGGCGGACGGGUGAGUAACACGUGGUAACCUACCUAUAAGACUGGGAUAACUUCGGGAAACCGGAGCUAAUACCGGAUAAUAUUCGAACCGCAUGGUUCGAUAGUGAAAGAUGGUUUUGCUAUCACUUAUAGAUGGACCCGCGCCGUAUUAGCUAGUUGGUAAGUUAACGGCUUACCAAGGCGACGAUACGUAGCCGACCUGAGAGGGUGAUCGGCCACACUGGAACUGAGACACGGUCCAGACUCCUACGGGAGGCAGCAGCG